GAGUGUAGAAGGUGUUCUGUCGUCUUUCUCAGCCAAAAGGUUACCCUAGAAUAGUUUUGAGGGUCUAUUUAUAAGCUAUUAAAAAUUACAAAAUUUUGGCCCAAGCCCAACUACAACGCUUAGCGCUGGAUUGACCACUCAGCGUUGGAUUGACUGCUCAACGAUAGGUGCGGCUCUCCACUGGAUCGCUCAGCGUUGACGCCCAAGCCUCCUGCCGUAUUGAAUUGAAGUUCUUAGUGCUCAGCGGUGGAUUUUGGCGCUCAGUUGUAGACACGGUUCUUCAUUUACCCCUCAGCGCUGACGCUUAAGCGUAUGACUGUAUUGAAUUCCACAAGGUUGGCGCUCAGCGCUGAAAUUGGUGCUGAGUGGUGAGAGUGAUUCCUCUUUUGCACCUUUCUUCAUCCUUUCUUGAGUCCAACUCCUUCCUACUUCACUUUCCAUCCU
This 444-nucleotide long non-coding RNA is filed under the name Vigna radiata. Its description in RNAcentral is "long non-coding RNA (VRAD_LNC006034)". The record is from RNAcentral. Lineage: Eukaryota; Viridiplantae; Streptophyta; Magnoliopsida; Fabales; Fabaceae.